AUUUGGGAUUCGAAUUACAAUUAAUAUAAAACUUACAAAGUUUGGGUUUACUUUUGCCAUAGCCUAAAUCAUAAUUCUUCCACCAUUGCAAUAGAAUGCUUCUGGCGGUACUGUAGAAGUAGAACGCGCUCAUCUUUCUGAGAAGCUUACCGGAAAGCUUAGGAAGAUUAGCUCCGACAAGUCAAUUUAUAUUUCCUGCUCAGUCCAGUAAAAGCAAGAAAACUUUUUCCUGGAAAAUAGAGAAGAAAAGAAGAUGAACAGUACAUCACCAGCUCAUUCAUCAGUAUCAACAACAGCAAUCGUUGGAGGCGGCGGUAGCAAUGCCGCUUUGGAAGAUUUUCAUUUCCCUUCCGAUCUUAUAUCUAUCCAAGACCGCAAGGAAGAAGCCAUGCUUGUUCUGAAAGCUGAUUUGAUGGCUGCACUUAACAAAGAGGUUAAAUCCUUGGAUGAAGAUAAUUGGAAGUUUGAAGGACCUCGUUCACGCAUCAACCUUAUAUCAAGGCCUGGUUAGUGAUUCGAUCCAUCAAUUGUCCUUCCCUUUUAAUAUUUUCUGUUCUUUCUGCAUUUUAUUGGAUAAAGACAAGAAACAUGUCACUAUCCUUUAAUUCAUAAUUUACCAUAUGCAUGAUAUUUUAGAAGAGAAUUUCUUCUUUUUCCAAGUGCCAUUGAUACAGUUGCCUAAAAUGUGGUCAGCAUUGGAGAUAAAGGUCUAUACCCCUCUAUUAAUUGGGACAGAGGUGACUUUGGAUCUUGGACCAACUUUCAAGUUCUCUUGAGCAUAGAAAAUCAACUUGCAUAAAAUCGAAUUUGCUCGUCUUUAUCUCCCUGAUCAAAGCAUGAAAAAAGGGGAAUUUAAGGAAGAAAGAGUUUGUGAGGGAAACUUAUUAUCUCUCAACACCAUAGCAUCCUAUACCAUUAUAGACAGAUAUUUUAACUAGGACACUGAUUGCUGAACAUGGCAUCUUCUUUCAUGUUGGCAGUUGGCACUUGGAAAUGGCUGAUAAUGUAUUUGAAUUUGUUCUUUCACUUAUUGUGAAGUGUCCCUAACUCAUUUUUGCAGAUUAAGAAGGAUCAUUCACAAAGAAAGGAUCAAAACCUAUGAACUAAACUCAGUUUCUGUAGUUAAUUCCUGUUCUCUUGAAGAAAUCUAUAUUUCUUCCAUAGCAUUAAAGAAACCUCUCAACAAAAUUUUGAACCUUAAAUUCACUUUAGAUAACAUGUUUCAAAAGUUUUAGAUAAGUUUUGUGGCAUAUCUGAUAAACAUCAGUAUCUCCCUUCUAAAAUAUCCUUUCUUUUUAAGGAAUUGCACAUGCCAGGCUUAUGUGAAUUCCCUGUGAAAUCUAGAUAGAUAGAAGAGCUGAUUCUUAGUGACAGCCUUUGUAUCUUUCUGAUGUAUUCUUGUUUCUUUGUGCGUUCACGAGUCUGCAAGGCUUAUAUGAGCAGGUCAGUGCAUCUGUGCACAUUGUUGUUUGGGACUUCGCAGCCUACUAUAGGCCUCGAGAACCUGAUUUAUUUGUAAUCGUCUGGUCCAACCUUUUAUAAUUUGUCUUUUUUAAUAUCAUUAUAAUCAUUAUUGUUUGUUAUAUUUAUUGAAGAAAAUCUUCUGUUACUAAUUCUAAUAUCAGGUGGAUUUCUAAACAAGAAGAUGGAAAUAACAAAGAAUAGGAACAUAGCUCCACCAAAGUAAAUUAGAUUUUUCAGGCAGGUCACAUCUUUCAUCUGCUGUCUCUGAGAAAUCUGUUCUUCUGCUGCUGGCAAGACUAAAGCUGUUUUGUUGCUGAACUUCAAAAUGAAUGGCACAUAGUUGUUAGGUUACAGAGCUUCUAAAUCUGUUACUUAAACAGGAUCUUAAAAAUUUUCUUUUUAAUUGUUUUGCAACAUGAGUGAUUAAUGAUAUGCCAUUGUAGUGCCUGGGGAUUCUUUUUCUCUCAUGAUGAUAUGUUUCUCAUUGUAAAACAAAAUUUUAUUCAAAUAAUGAUAUCGAGAUAGGCAAUUUUAAAAUUAAAUCUUUUUAAGGAUUUUUUAUGAGUUCUUGGGACUCGAAGAAAUGUGAGAUAGACGAAUCUGUUCUAUGGAGUCACUUGAAGAUUCAAAAAGAUCUUAUUUCUUUGUCUUAUUUCUAAUAUUAGAAUUGUAAAUAAAAAAAUAUUCAUACAAUAAAAUAUGGGGUUAAGUUAAAUUG
RNAcentral lists this unclassified non-coding RNA (2182 nucleotides) under Hevea brasiliensis (rubber tree). Lineage: Eukaryota; Viridiplantae; Streptophyta; Magnoliopsida; Malpighiales; Euphorbiaceae. The record is from RNAcentral.